GACGAACGCUGGCGGCGUGCCUAAUACAUGCAAGUAGAACGCACAGUUUAUACCGUAGCUUGCUACACCAUAAACUGUGAGUUGCGAACGGGUGAGUAACGCGUAGGUAACCUGCCUGGUAGCGGGGGAUAACUAUUGGAAACGAUAGCUAAUACCGCAUAAUAUUGAUUAUUGCAUGAUAAUUGAUUGAAAGAUGCUAUUGCAUCACUACCAGAUGGACCUGCGUUGUAUUAGCUAGUAGGUGAGGUAACGGCUCACCUAGGCGACGAUACAUAGCCGACCUGAGAGAGUGAUCGGCCACACUGGGACUGAGACACGGCCCAGACUCCUACGGGAGGCAGCAGUAGGGAAUCUUCGGCAAUGGACGAAAGUCUGACCGAGCAACGCCGCGUGAGUGAAGAAGGUUUUCGGAUCGUAAAGCUCUGUUGUAAGAGAAGAACGGGUGUGAGAGUGGAAAGUUCACACUGUGACGGUAUCUUACCAGAAAGGGACGGCUAACUACGUG
This 505-nucleotide ribosomal RNA is filed under the name uncultured bacterium. RNAcentral's name for it is "partial 16S ribosomal RNA". It matches the Rfam family "Bacterial small subunit ribosomal RNA", at positions 28 to 507 of the family's 1533-position model. The record is from RNAcentral.